Molecule: non-coding RNA, 85 nt
Organism: Cytidiella melzeri
Lineage: Eukaryota; Fungi; Basidiomycota; Agaricomycetes; Polyporales; Irpicaceae
Source: the annotation of a GenBank genome assembly
GGCUCAAUGGUCUAGUCGUAUGAUUCCUGCUUUGGGCAACAUGACUAAUUGCAGGAGGCCCCGGGUUCAAAUCCCGGUUGAGCCC